GACGAACGCUGGCGGCGUGCUUAACACAUGCAAGUCGAGCGGGAACCUCGGGAGGGGUAACCCUUCCGAGGGGAGAGCGGCGAACGGGUGAGUAUCACGUGGGCAACCUGCCCCGGACACCGGGAUAACCCAGGGAAACCUGAGCUAAUACCGGAUACUCCGGCACGAUCACAUGGUCGUGCCGGGAAAGCUCCGACGGUCCGGGAUGGGCCCGCGGCCUAUCAGCUUGUUGGUGGGGUAACGGCCCACCAAGGCGACGACGGGUAGCUGGUCUGAGAGGACGGCCAGCCACACUGGGACUGAGACACGGCCCAGACUCCUACGGGAGGCAGCAGUGGGGAAUCUUGUCCAAUGGGCGAAAGCCUGAGACAGCGACGCCGCGU
RNAcentral lists this ribosomal RNA (383 nucleotides) under uncultured bacterium. RNAcentral's name for it is "bacterial SSU rRNA". It matches the Rfam family "Bacterial small subunit ribosomal RNA", at positions 28 to 402 of the family's 1533-position model. The record is from RNAcentral.